RNAcentral lists this transfer RNA (74 nucleotides) under Nematostella vectensis (starlet sea anemone). It matches the Rfam family "tRNA". Rfam says of the family: Transfer RNA (tRNA) molecules are approximately 80 nucleotides in length. Their secondary structure includes four short double-helical elements and three loops (D, anti-codon, and T loops). Further hydrogen bonds mediate the characteristic L-shaped molecular structure. tRNAs have two regions of fundamental functional importance: the anti-codon, which is responsible for specific mRNA codon recognition, and the 3' end, to which the tRNAs corresponding amino acid is attached (by aminoacyl-tRNA synthetases). tRNAs cope with the degeneracy of the genetic code in two manners: having more than one tRNA (with a specific anti-codon) for a particular amino acid; and 'wobble' base-pairing, i.e. permitting non-standard base-pairing at the 3rd anti-codon position. The record is from Rfam by way of RNAcentral. Lineage: Eukaryota; Metazoa; Cnidaria; Anthozoa; Actiniaria; Edwardsiidae.
GUCUCUGUGGCGCAAUCGGUUAGCGCUGUUGUCUGUUAACUGAAAGGUUUGUUGUUCAACUCCUCCCAGGGACG